UACGAAGGGGGCUAGCGUUGCUCGGAAUCACUGGGCGUAAAGGGUGCGUAGGCGGGUCUUUAAGUCAGGGGUGAAAUCCUGGAGCUCAACUCCAGAACUGCCUUUGAUACUGAGGAUCUUGAGUUCGGGAGAGGUGAGUGGAACUGCGAGUGUAGAGGUGAAAUUCGAUAGAUAUUCGCAAGAACACCAGUGGCGAAGGCGGCUCACUGGCCCGGUACUGACGCUGAGGUGCGAAAGCGUGGGGAGCAAACAGGG
This 255-nucleotide ribosomal RNA is filed under the name uncultured bacterium. Its description in RNAcentral is "partial 16S ribosomal RNA". It matches the Rfam family "Bacterial small subunit ribosomal RNA", at positions 524 to 777 of the family's 1533-position model. The record is from RNAcentral.